RNAcentral lists this ribosomal RNA (406 nucleotides) under uncultured bacterium. RNAcentral describes it as "partial 16S ribosomal RNA". It matches the Rfam family "Bacterial small subunit ribosomal RNA", at positions 29 to 526 of the family's 1533-position model. The record is from RNAcentral.
AGUGAACGCUGGCGGCAGGCCUAACACAUGCAAGUCGAACGAGCGGCGGACGGGUGAGGAAUGUAUGGGAAUCUGCCCUGUCGUGGGGGAUAACGUAGGGAAACGGUGGCUAAUACCGCAUACGAUUGAAUGAGCCGAUGUGGGAUUAGCGAGUUGGCGGGGUAAAGGCCCACCAAGGCGACGAUCUGUAGCUGGUCUGAGAGGAUGAUCAGCCACACUGGAACUGAGACACGGCCCAGACUCCUACGGGAGGCAGCAGUGGGGAAUAUUGCACAAUGGGCGCAAGCCUGAUGCAGCCAUGCCGCGUGGAUGAAGAAGGCCUUCGGGUUGUAAAGCCCUUUUGUUGGGAAAGCGUUACCCGCAGAAUAAGCACCGGCUAACUUCGUGCCAGCAGCCGCGGUAAUAC